RNAcentral lists this ribosomal RNA (2590 nucleotides) under Rosellinia necatrix. RNAcentral describes it as "SSU rRNA". It matches the Rfam family "Eukaryotic small subunit ribosomal RNA". Lineage: Eukaryota; Fungi; Ascomycota; Sordariomycetes; Xylariales; Xylariaceae. The record is from RNAcentral.
AUCUGGUUGAUCCUGCCAGUAGUCAUAUGCUUGUCUCAAAGAUUAAGCCAUGCAUGUCUAAGUAUAAGCAAUUAUACCGCGAAACUGCGAAUGGCUCAUUAAAUCAGUUAUCGUUUAUUUGAUAGUACCUUACUACUUGGAUACCUGUGGUAAUUCUAGAGCNNNUACAUGCUGAAANAUCCCGACUCACGGAGGGAUGUAUUUAUUAGAUUAAAAACCAAUGCCCCUCGGGGCUUUCUGGUGAUUCAUAAUAACUUCACGAAUCGCACGGCCUUGCGCCGGCGAUGGUUCAUUCAAAUUUCUGCCCUAUCAACUUUCGAUGGCAGGGUCUUGGCCUGCCAUGGUUUCAACGGGUAACGGAGGGUUAGGGCUCGACCCCGGAGAAGGAGCCUGAGAAACGGCUACUACAUCCAAGGAAGGCAGCAGGCGCGCAAAUUACCCAAUCCCGACACGGGGAGGUAGUGACAAUAAAUACUGAUACAGGGCUCUUUUGGGUCUUGUAAUUGGAAUGAGUACAAUUUAAAUCCCUUAACGAGGAACAAUUGGAGGGCAAGUCUGGUGCCAGCAGCCGCGGUAAUUCCAGCUCCAAUAGCGUAUAUUAAAGUUGUUGCAGUUAAAAAGCUCGUAGUUGAACCUUGGGCCUGGCUGGCCGGUCCGCCUCACCGCGUGCACUGGUUCGGCCGGGCCUUUCCCUCUGGGGAGCCCUAUGCCCUUCACUGGGUGUAGUGGGGAACCAGGACUUUUACUGUGAAAAAAUUAGAGUGUUCAAAGCAGGCAUUUGCUCGAAUACAUCAGCAUGGAAUAAUAGAAUAGGACGUGUGGUUCUAUUUUGUUGGUUUCUAGGACCGCCGUAAUGAUUAAUAGGGACAGUCGGGGGCAUCAGUAUUCAAUUGUCAGAGGUGAAAUUCUUGGAUUUAUUGAAGACUAACUACUGCGAAAGCAUUUGCCAAGGAUGUUUUCAUUAAUCAGGAACGAAAGUUAGGGGAUCGAAGACGAUCAGAUACCGUCGUAGUCUUAACCAUAAACUAUGCCGACUAGGGAUUGGACAAUGUUAUUUUUUGACUUGUUCAGCACCUUACGAGAAAUCAAAGUUUUUGGGUUCUGGGGGGAGUAUGGUCGCAAGGCUGAAACUUAAAGAAAUUGACGGAAGGGCACCACCAGGAGUUAAACGGACCGCCGCCGCAGUCUCUGCUCCAGAAAGCAUAGCCUGUAAUGGGUUGGUGGUAAGCCCUCGAUAUAUGCUAGUCAGGUGGUAAUAAUCUGCUGUAUUAAAUAGUGAGGUUAUUCCUGGCGACAUCCUCAAAUUGCGGGGAAGCCCUACAACAAAAGCAAUGACUACUAAGCGCGCCUUGAAAAAGAGCGCGUGGCGGAGCGUAACGGCUCCGGUACAGUAAGAACGUGAUUGCCUGGGGUCAUCCGCAGCCAAGCUCCUUAUAGGGAUAUAUGAGAGAAGGUUCAGAGACUUGACGGGGAUGGGUGAACUCGCAACCAGGUUCGCUUAAGAUAAAGUCCAUUAAAGGCACGAAAGUGUCCUUUUAACAACCCCCUAUAACAGGGAGCCUGCGGCUUAAUUUGACUCAACACGGGGAAACUCACCAGGUUAACUGAACAGUUACUGUCUGGGCCUGGAAUAGUGAUUUGUUUCGCUAGUGCUAGACACUUGUCUACGUGGGAAAGCUCCCGAUUCGGACGUAGAGCGGUGGCCUCGCUACCGUUGUCUAGUGCACACCAGCUGGUACAGGGAACGCUAACCCUACAUUCGUAGGUAUGCCAAUCCUGUGGCGAGCUCAGGUUGCGCUGAGCCGUUGCAACGCGCGGNAAAGCGGUGGGCUGCGUCUAUUCGACGUGGCUUAAGGUACGUGCUAAUCCUACGAGAAAUCGUAGCCUUCUUGACUAGGUCCGAAUGUCCUAAUCAAGGAGGGCAGGGCNCGGCUUGUUUUACUGCAAGCCCGGCCCUGCGUGUUGGGGGGGGGGGGGGGGAUAGACGAUGUGCCCGCCCCUCUGGAGAAUGCAGACACAAUGAGGAUUGACAGAUUGAGAGCUCUUUCUUGAUUAUGUGGGUGGUGGUGCAUGGCCGUUCUUAGUUGGUGGAGUGAUUUGUCUGCUUAAUUGCGAUAACGAACGAGACAUUUACCUGCUAAAUAGCCCGUAUUGCUUUGGCAGUACGCUGGCUNCUUAGAGGGACUAUCCGCUUAAGCGGGUGGAAGUUGGAUGCAAUAACAGGUCUGUGAUGCCCUUAGAUGUUCUGGGCCGCACGCGCGUUACACUGACAGAGACAGCGAGUACUUCCUUAGUAGAGAUACUUGGGUAAUCUUGUUAAACUCUGUCGUGCUGGGGAUAGAGCAUUGCAAUUAUUGCUCUUCAACGAGGAAUUCCUAGUAAGCGUAAGUCAUCAACUUGCGUUGAUUACGUCCCUGCCCUUUGUACACACCGCCCGUCGCUACUACCGAUUGAAUGGCUCAGUGAGGCUUUCGGACUGGCCCAGAGGAGUCGGCANCGACACUUCAGGGCCGGAAAGUCAUCCAAACUCGGUCAUUUAGAGGAAGUAAAAGUCGUAACAAGGUCUCCGUUGGUGAACUGCGGAAGGAUC